GACGAACGCUGGCGGCGUGCUUAACACAUGCAAGUCGAACGCUGAAGACCUGGCUUUUGUUGGGUUGGAUGAGUGGCGAACGGGUGAGUAACACGUGAGUAACCUGCCCUCUUCUUUGGGAUAACGCCCGGAAACGGGUGCUAAUACUGGAUAUUCACUGGCCUUCGCAUGGGGGUUGGUGGAAAGGUUUGUUCUGGUGGGGGAUGGGCUCGCGGCCUAUCAGCUUGUUGGUGGGGUGAUGGCCUACCAAGGCUUUGACGGGUAGCCGGCCUGGGAGGGUGACCGGGCACAUUGGGACUGGGAUACGGCCCAGACGCCUACGGGAGGCAGGAGUGGGGAAUAUUGCACAAUGGGCGAAAGCCUGAUGCAGCGACGCGGCGUGAGGGAUGGAGGCCUUGGGGUUGUAAACCUCUUUCGCUCAUGGUCAAGCCGCAACUGUGGGUUGUGGUGAGGGUAGUGGGUAAAGAAGCGCCGGCUAACUACGUG
RNAcentral lists this ribosomal RNA (486 nucleotides) under uncultured bacterium. RNAcentral's name for it is "partial 16S ribosomal RNA". It matches the Rfam family "Bacterial small subunit ribosomal RNA", at positions 28 to 507 of the family's 1533-position model. The record is from RNAcentral.